AGCCCUUAAAAGGAACAGGCUAGGAAAAGAGCCAGAUUUGUUCUUCGUCCUGGCUGACCUGUUUAGUCUUGAUUCCAGGUGCUUUCUUCUUCCCAUUCUCCAGAGGAUGGCAGGCAAAGCUGGUCUCUAAGGCUCUACUCUCCCACCCUUUUCUGGAGUCACUAGGACACAUGAAUGUUGGUUUUGGGAUCCUGUAGAUGAGCUGUUUGAGGAUGGCACACCUCUGGUUUAGGCCACUCAGUUAAGAAUACCUGUUAUGAAGAGGCCACCAACAGAUUGGGAAAGGAUUUUUACCAAUCCUAAAUCUAAUAGGGGACUAAUAUAUAAUAUAUACAAAGAGCUCAAGAAACUGGACUCCAGAAAUUCAAAUAACCCCAUUAAAAAUGGGGUACAGAGCUAAACAAAGACUUCUCAACUGAGGAAUACCGAAGGCCUGAGAAGCACCUGAAAAAAUGUUCAGCAUCCUUAAUCAUCAGGGAAAUGCAAAUCAAAACAACCCUGAGAUUCCACCUUACACCAGUCAGAAUGGCUAAGAUCAAAAAUUCAGCUGACAACAGAUGCUGGCGAGGAUGUGGAGAAAGAGGAACACUCCUCCAUUGUUGGUGGGAUUGCAAGCUU
RNAcentral lists this long non-coding RNA (618 nucleotides) under Mus musculus (house mouse). Its description in RNAcentral is "predicted gene 45425". The record is from RNAcentral. Lineage: Eukaryota; Metazoa; Chordata; Mammalia; Rodentia; Muridae.